RNAcentral lists this ribosomal RNA (536 nucleotides) under uncultured Thermoplasmatales archaeon. Its description in RNAcentral is "bacterial SSU rRNA". It matches the Rfam family "Archaeal small subunit ribosomal RNA", at positions 339 to 874 of the family's 1478-position model. Lineage: Archaea; Methanobacteriati; Thermoplasmatota; Thermoplasmata; Thermoplasmatales. The record is from RNAcentral.
GCGCGAAAACUUCGCACUGUGCGAAAGCACGACGAGGGAAUCCCAAGUGUAUGCACUUUUUGUGUAUACUGUUUCUCUGUCUAAAAAGCAGGGAGAGUAAGAGCUGGGUAAGACGGGUGCCAGCCGCCGCGGUAAUACCUGCAGCUCGAGUGGUGAUCGUUAUUAUUGGGCCUAAAACGUCCGUAGCCGGUCUUGUAAAUGCCUGGGUAAAUCGUAUGGCUUAACCAUACGAAUUCUGGGUAGACUGUUAGACUUGAGACCGGGAGAAGCUAGAGGUACUCCUGGGGUAGAGGUGAAAUUCUGUAAUCCUAGGGGGACGACCAGUGGCGAAGGCGUCUAGCUAGAACGGGUCUGACGGUGAGGGACGAAGCCCUGGGGCGCAAACGGGAUUAGGAUACCCCGGUAGUCCAGGGUGUAAACGCUGCUUGCUUGAUGUUAGUCGAGCUCCGAGCUCGAUUAGUGUCGGAGAGAAGUUGUUAAGCAAGCUGCCUGGGAAGUACGGCCGCAAGACUGAAAACUUAAGGAAUUGGCGGGGG